GACGAACGCUGGCGGCGUGCUUAACACAUGCAAGUCGAACGGAAAGGCCCUGCUUUUGUGGGGUGCUCGAGUGGCGAACGGGUGAGUAACACGUGAGUAACCUGCCCUUGACUUUGGGAUAACUUCAGGAAACUGGGGCUAAUACCGGAUAGGAGCUCCUGCUGCAUGGUGGGGGUUGGAAAGUUUCGGCGGUUGGGGAUGGACUCGCGGCUUAUCAGCUUGUUGGUGGGGUAGUGGCUUACCAAGGCUUUGACGGGUAGCCGGCCUGAGAGGGUGACCGGCCACAUUGGGACUGAGAUACGGCCCAGACUCCUACGGGAGGCAGCAGUGGGGAAUAUUGCACAAUGGGUGGAAGCCUGAUGCAGCAACGCCGUGUGCGGGAUGACGGCCUUCGGGUUGUAAACCGCUUUCGCUCAUGACGAAGCUUUGUGUGACGGUAGUGGGUAAAGAAGCACCGACUAACUACGUG
RNAcentral lists this ribosomal RNA (469 nucleotides) under uncultured bacterium. RNAcentral's name for it is "partial 16S ribosomal RNA". It matches the Rfam family "Bacterial small subunit ribosomal RNA", at positions 28 to 507 of the family's 1533-position model. The record is from RNAcentral.